This 781-nucleotide non-coding RNA is filed under the name Latridiidae sp. 1 KM-2017. Lineage: Eukaryota; Metazoa; Arthropoda; Insecta; Coleoptera; Latridiidae. The record is from RNAcentral.
CAAAAGUUUUAUUUUGGCUUAAAAUUUAUAGUUACAUUUAAUUUUACAUGUAAGUAUUUGUGAAAAUUAAUAAGAAUUUAAAAAAUAAUUAUUUAAUUUUUAUUUGCAGUUUAAAAUCUUAUAUAUUAAGUGAUCUUAGAUUUAGUAAAUAUUAUAGUUUUAACAAAAUUUGUGCCAGCAGUUGCGGUUAUACAAAUAAUGCAAUAUAAAUAUAUUGGAAUUAGUUAAUUUUUAAAAAUAUAUUAUUAUUAAUAAUAAAUUUUAAGGUGAAAUUUUAAUUUAUUUUAAAUAUAUAUUUAUAUUAAUGAAGCUAAGAAAUUUAAUUUUAAACUAGGAUUAGAUACCCUAUUAUUUUUUAUGUAAUUAUAUUUCCUAAUUAUUAAUAGAUAUGAACUUUAAAAUUAAAAAUUUUGGCGGUAUUUUAGUCUUUUCAGAGGAACCUGUUCUAUAAUCGACAACCCACGAUUUAAUGUACUUAAUUUAAUUAACUUAUAUAUCGUCGUAGUUGAAUAUUUUAUAAGAAUAUAAUAUUCAAAAUUUUAAAUUUAAAAAUAAAUCAGAUCAAGGUGUAGUUUAUAGUUAAGAAGUAAUGGGUUACAAUAAAUUUAUUUAAACAGUUUAUAUAAUUUAAAUUAUAUUUUAAGGUGGAUUUGAAAGUAAUAAAAUAUAAUUAUUUUUUAUGAUUUUGGCUCUAAAAUAUGCACAUAUCGCCCGUCGCUUUCAUUUAAAAUGGAAUAAGUCGUAACAAAGUAAAUAUACUGGAAAGUGUAUUUAGAAGAUU